Molecule: ribosomal RNA, 497 nt
Filed under: uncultured bacterium
Lineage: Bacteria
Description: partial 16S ribosomal RNA
Rfam family: Bacterial small subunit ribosomal RNA
Source: RNAcentral
GAUGAACGCUGGCGGCGUGCCUAAUACAUGCAAGUCGAGCGAACAGACGAGGAGCUUGCUCCUCUGACGUUAGCGGCGGACGGGUGAGUAACACGUGGAUAACCUACCUAUAAGACUGGGAUAACUUCGGGAAACCGGAGCUAAUACCGGAUAAUAUAUUGAACCGCAUGGUUCAAUAGUUAAAGACGGUUUUGCUGUCUCUUAUAGAUGGAUCCACGCCGCAUUAGCUAGUUGGUAAGGUAACGGCUUACCAAGGCAACGAUGCGUAGCCGACCUGAGAGGGUGAUCGGCCACACUGGAACUGAGACACGGUCCAGACUCCUACGGGAGGCAGCAGUAGGGAAUCUUCCGCAAUGGGCGAAAGCCUGACGGAGCAACGCCGCGUGAGUGAUGAAGGUCUUCGGAUCGUAAAACUCUGUUAUUAGGGAAGAACAAAUGUGUAAGUAACUAUGCACGUCUUGACGGUACCUAAUCAGAAAGCCACGGCUAACUACGUG